Molecule: long non-coding RNA, 828 nt
Filed under: Anser brachyrhynchus (Pink-footed goose)
Lineage: Eukaryota; Metazoa; Chordata; Aves; Anseriformes; Anatidae
Description: lncRNA (ENSABRG00000008398.1)
Source: RNAcentral
GAGGAGGCUUCAAAGGCCCAUGAGGAGGCCACCACAGGGCCAGCCCCAGUGCUCAGGAAACAUUUGGGGCCAGGGCCUUCCCCAGGGCCUGGUUUGAGUGACCACUGCUGCCAAAACAGGCCCAUCCACGACCCUGGGAGCCUUCACCAUCAGACUGCCUCCUCAUUCCUGGGGCCCUGCAGGGCCUUGUCCCAUUCCCCUUCACCUGGCUUGAUCCUGACCCUCAGUGUGAAAGUCAGGGUGGAUGAGGUAGAAGCCAUAGGAAAACAGGACAGUGGAUGCCAGGACAGUAAAGCAGGAUCUUACAGCCACACCCGGCAUACUGUAACCAUGACUCAGUCUUGUGUUCAUCUUAUGCAGCAAAGCUAUCGGCCUAAUUUUGCAAGGCUGUUGGGAGUGGUUGAGAGUACACUGCUGUUGCUGAUACCAGUAAGAACAGAAAAGAUGGAUGAAAGUGAACAGGAACCCAUUCUCUACCUGUAUUUUGGAGACACCUCUUUCUCUCCGCUGUAAAGGAAGACUUGAAAAAUCACACUCAUUCAGUGCCUGCCAUGCUCCCUCAAAACACCUCUUUCUGUAUUUCAUUAAUUCAGUAUUUUGGAGCUUAAUCUGAAUUUAAGGCAUUUAAUUUAAUCUGUACCUUCUCUCUAAAGUUUUCAAUACCAAAAUAUUUAAACGGUAAUGCACCUUUACUACUGGUGAGGAUUUCAUUCUUUUUUCUUUUUUUUUUCUUUUUUUUUCCAGUGGUAUUGGUAGUCCCUCUUGUGACUUUAACCACAUUGCUGAAAACGUAAUAAAAGUAAUUGGAUGGUUUCUGAAAAAAAGUUG